AUUAGACACUAAACCAAAACCAUUUUGUCUUGUGAAUUGUACUUCUGUAGGGGGCACGUUCAUGGACAUUAGAGUUAACUGAUGUCUGGUCUGGUAUCAAGGAAGAGAUGUUUUUAACUGUGUUUACGCUAAUCAAGCUAAUGAAUUUGGUACAUGUCAUAACAUCUAAGCCUUUGUAAGUUUGAAUAUUCACUUGUGACUUAAUCAGCUACUUAUAGCUUUUAUUAGGCUGUAUAUUGCUCAGUCCUGUAAGUUUGGUGUUACACAUUGCACAUUUGCUUUAUUAGGCUGUAUAUCACUUGUGAUAGUGAAAUGCGAACGGAUCGCUCGUGCUCUGCUUGGGUGACUUGCGCAGAGCACUGUGUCCGGGCUGAACCGUGGCCUGGCAGCGAGCCAGGAGGACCUGGACCACACGGACGCGGCGGCGGGGUGCCCCGUUGACACGCGCACGGUCAACGUGCUCAUCAGGGGCUACGGGCAGUCUUUGCAUCUCAACGACGCGCUACGCCUGUUCCACCAGAUGCGGCCACUGUACUGGUGCGAGCCGGAUGCAUUCACGUACAGCUACCUCGUGCACGGGCUGAGCGCGCAGGGCCGCACCAGGAACGCGUGGGAGCUGUUCGAUGAAAUGCGCGGGAGUGGUCUCCUGGGAAGCCAUACCAGGUACUUGCAGAUCCUGUCAGAUCCCACUAAAUCAUAUCUAAAGAGAGGUGCUGGAUGUGGUGCAGGUCCUGUCAGAUACCGUGGUGCAGUUCAAGAUGAUCUAAUCCCCAUAGCCCUAUCCUUUGUGUGAAAUGUUGCUUAGUUACCAUGGUGGUUCCAAUCCAAUACAGUAAAGAGGCUCCACUAUACUGCACUCACUGAGCUUGCAUGAGUUUCGGUGUGCAACUGCAUAUUUAGCUCACAGUGCAUCACCAUGAUGGAGGCAGUGAAUGAUGGAGGUGACCUUCACAUCUCUGUGACCAUGCCUUCCAUUGAGGUAGGCACUAUUGGGGUGGCACUUGUCUUGCUUCACAGGGCGCAUGUCUGAACCUGCUCGGUGUCAGGGGCCCGAACCGUGACUCACCUGGGGCAAAUGCUAGGGACGCCGGGGUGGUGCACAUCCUCGGGAACACGGUCAUCAGGGCCCGCAGAGAUUCAGGGUUCAUCAAGAAGGUUGCUAUCAAUUACUUGUAUGCUUUCCUUAGGAAGAUCUGCAGGGAGAACAACACCAUCUUCAAUGUUCCCCAUGAGAGCCUACUGAAUGUUGGGCAGGUGUUCUAUGUGUAAGCACCGAAACCAAAUACAUGUAGUAGUUGAGAGUUUAGCUUUGGAACCACUGGAGAGAAGCUAGCUGUGUUUUGUUCGUAGCCUCGUAGGUAAUAGGAGUAUGAUAGUUCAAAGAAUUGUACAGCAAAACAGCAUAUUUAAUGUGACCAGUUGGAGCCUGAUCAGUAGUGGUUGUGUUCAUCAUGUAACUACUGUAUGCACAUCUGAAAUAGCUGGUUAUUAAAUCCAGAGUAAUUUUGGCGCUUCCUUGGCCA
Long non-coding RNA from Zea mays, 1523 nucleotides. RefSeq lists it as uncharacterized. The record is from RefSeq and is a predicted model, not a curated record. Lineage: Eukaryota; Viridiplantae; Streptophyta; Magnoliopsida; Poales; Poaceae. The transcript has 3 exons.